CUCAAAUUCAUAUUACUGAUAAAGUGUUAAAACUUAGAUGAGAUGUUGGUGUUUUAUGGCUCACGAAUUCGCAAUAACGGAUACGUAUAGCAGUUCGUGUUAAUGACAUUAAUCCAAACUUAUUGAUGACGUGAUAACAUGGGCGUCGAAUCCAAUAUUAAUCAUGCUGAGGUUUUCUCGACGGGGAAAUGUGUAUAAAUGCAGUUAUAAAAUUAAAAGGGACAAGAUAGUCGACGUGACCCUCAUGUUUCCAUGGCAAUCAGUCAAUUACAUGUUGCGCUUAUGACGCUCACCUGCGGUCAUUCGCGCAGUAUCCAUGAUGAUUUUAAGCGGCAUGAAACACUUCAGUUAACUCCUUUGUACGAAAAUAUCAUGUCGUAGCCCUUCAAAUUAGAAAAGUGAGGAUGAUCUUGUCAAUGCUGAGAUUUUCAUGCAUCAGCAGCCACUACAUCUGGAUCAGAUUGAACAAGAAACAGACAGCAAGGGUUGUCAGAUCAGAAACAGAAUGACACACAAACACAAGAAACUUCACAGGCAGAUCAACAUGCAAUUUAAAGACGUGUGAUAAAAUACAGAGAGGUGAAGUGGUGUGUCUUUCCAGAUCUCCAAAUCAUUCCCCCUUAAAAGAUGAGCCUGAAGAGGAGAUUUGGGAAGAUGCUGUUUCAUAAGUCGCUUUGCCAGAUCACCUGUGGUCGGGAUGUCUGCUAACAAGAUGCCUUGCUGGUCUGAGCGAGUUUAAAGUCUUACACAGACAGUCCAGAAGUUCUGAAGUCCAUCUUCGAUUUCAUUGAUGCUGUCAUCGUAUGAAGUACAGCAUGAGCCAGAAUAGAUGGGUGGUGAUGGCCAUAAGAAGACUGUCAACUAAACCAACAACAAAAUUCAUAUUUGCAGUUUUUCUUGAAUAAAGUUUUUCUAUUCAGAUUAAUAAAAUGACUUUUAAACAUGA
This is a long non-coding RNA of Paramisgurnus dabryanus, 946 nucleotides long. RefSeq lists it as uncharacterized. NCBI's taxonomy places the organism in Eukaryota, Metazoa, Chordata, Actinopteri, Cypriniformes, Cobitidae. The record is from RefSeq and is a predicted model, not a curated record.